Molecule: long non-coding RNA, 4134 nt
Filed under: Homo sapiens (human)
Lineage: Eukaryota; Metazoa; Chordata; Mammalia; Primates; Hominidae
Description: long independently transcribed non-coding RNA 1094, transcript variant 4 (LINC01094)
Source: RNAcentral
CUUUUCAGUUCUGUCUUCCUGAGGCUGCUGUUUCUGGGCAUGGCCAGGGGAUCUUCAGACUUUACAAACCAGUUGUGCAGAGCCAGGCAUUUCAAUAAGGAACAAAAUGCUGAGUAACAACAUGAAGUCAGAGUGUUGCUUGCCAAGAGCUGGGAGGCCUGGGUGGUUUCCCAAUCUUAAAGAAGCAGAAGGAUAUUAAAGUGAGCCUCCCAAAGGAAAACGUGGAUCUACUUACCAACGCAGAAAAUGAUACACACGGAUUCGAUUUAGGCACGCUACAUUCAAAUGACUUGGAAGAGCAGGUUCUCUGAGCCAGGAUACUAAAGUCCCUGUUUAGGAAAGAGCCACGUUGUAUGUUUACCCUACCACAAAGAUACAGAAUUCUGGAGGAAAGUGGCUCUGGGAAUUGAACAGUGGCUCAGUGAUGUUGGGGCCACCAAGUCUGCAAUUCUCCCUACCUGUUCUUCAUGGUUGUAAGAUGACUGCUGCAAUUCUCGGCAUCAUGUGCAUGUUAAUGUCAGGAGGAAGAAAGGAAGAGGGAGCACUGGGAUGUUACAUUCAUUUUGUCAGGAAAAGCAAAGCCUUUCCAGACAGCUCCGAAACUUGCUUACCUCUCAUUGGCCAGCACCAUCACUUGACCACUUGUCCACUCCUAGCUGCAAGGAAAGUGGCAAAGUAGAAGGUAUUUGAGAAUGUCUGCUGGGUUAGCCAAAACAAUAGUGACUUCUACACCCAAUUUUCUGGGCACUGCAGAAGUAUCCUUGAGUCCUAUGUGAUCAGAGGGAGAGCAAACCUCAAUAAUGAAACAGAUUCAAUUUCCAUCACCCAGUGAGACACCAUGGGAUUAGAAUAAAUUUUUAAAAAAACAAAUUGAAAAAAAUGCAUUUUUAAAACAACAAAAUCAGAAAGGAUGAAAGGUGAUAUUUCUAGCAUAUCAGUUUGUGGUGGUAAAUUAAUUACCUUAUACAAAGGCCUCAGUGACUUUCUUCUCCUUACCUAACGAAUCAUCUUUAAAAUAAGUAAAAUAAAGAAACAAGAGCAGCAGCAGAUGCUUCCUAAAAAGAAGUUACCAAAUCUGUUCACCACAAACCUGAGAAUUCAACUGUGGACAUUUGGACACCAGCAAUGAACAUGAAACUCAGCUUAUGAGGCAUAUUUGGCUAAAGGUCAAGGUGACUUAAAGUUCAUCAUAGGACAUCUACAAUUUGCAAAGCAGGUGACUGGAUAUGGACUCCUUCCAAGUCUCAUUUAAUUGGAUAAUGCCUACGUUUUAAGUAUCAGAAGUGAGUCUUUCUCUAUUAAAUGAAGUCAGUUCCACUAAAACCUAAAUCUUGUUUGGCAGGCACUCCAUGUUUCUUAAUUUUUAUUCCAUGCUGUAUAUUCUUUUAGACUUGAUUUUCACUUUUUUUUCUUUUUUCCUGUACAUUUAUCUUUGCUGUGAAACAAAGUGCCCUGCUUUGAAGGACAGGUUUGUGGGCUGCUGGUGGUGAGACAACAGCAGUCCUUCCAAGUCUUCCUCCCAUCACUCUGUUAGCUCUCCCUUUGUUUUUAAUUAGCAUUACACCAGUUAAUUCUGUUAUCUCUUAACCCUGGUUCUGCAUCCUCUUCUUCUUUUCUAUUCCUUACUCCGCUCCUGUUUUUUCUUGUUCUGCUUUUCCAAGAAAUGUCUUGUCUCCUCAUCAGUUGACUGUCUUCUCUUUCCAGAGGGACCAUAAAGGUGCCAGCCUAAGGAACACGUAAAACGUGGGAACAGACAAACAAGCUGCUGCCUAUUACAGAGAUAGAUAAUUAACUUUGGACCAUUACAUGCAAUUCAUCAGCUUAUCUUUUUCAAACUUUAUAUAAGAAGUCAUUUCCCAAUGGUAACCACUUGCCAGCUGCAACUUUGACGCAUAUUAUCAGGAUAGGUGAGAUUGAUGGGGGCCCUUUGAACUCUUCCCAGGGAAUUAUCUUUAUAAUGUUACAGUUUUCUCUAUAGCAUGGUCAUAUUGUUAACAUUGGUUAUAAGGUCAUAUGGUUAGUAUGGUUAGUAUUGGUGGCUCACAGCUGUAAUACCAGCACUUUGGGAGGCCAAGGUGGGAGGAUCACUUGAGCCCUGGUGUUCAAAACCAGCUCUGGAAACAUAGCAAGACCUUGUCUCUACAAAAAAAAAUUAAAUAAAUUAAAAGAUUAGCUGGGCAUGGUGGCACAUGCCUGUAGUCCUCACUACUUGGGAAACUAAGGUGGGAGGAUCCUUUGAGCUUGGGAGGUUGAGGCUGCAGUGAGCUGUGGUUGUGCCAUGGCACUCCAGCCUGGGUGACAGAGUGAGAGCCUGUCUCAAAAAAAAAAAAAAAAAAAAAAAAAAGUACCUGUAAGGUCUUUGGGAUUUUGAAGAUGAAAGGUGUUGCAUAAAUUGAAUGAAUUCACUUAGAGAGAUAGAAGGCAACUACAGGGAAUAUUACGUACAUCAUGGAGCGGAAAGCACUAAGGCCUGUGGAAUUAUUCUCAGUGACACGUCGUUGAGGGCAGUGGUCCACAUGUUUUGAACAUGGUUUCUCCCAGGUGAAAAGGAUGAGUAAUUUGUUCUCCUUCACAUGUGUGUAUGUAGGUCUUAUACACAGCAGAUUUGCCACAAAACAAAUGAAGAUUACACUUUGGGCCCCUCUCUCACAUGAGCCCCUUCCAAAGUUCUGUUUGCUAAUUUUACAUUUUGUAAUUUCUUAUUAUUUUUCUUAAAGAAGCCUCCUCCAAUUGCAUAAACUUCAAGCCUCACAAAAUUUGGAUCCAUACCUGAGCCAACAUACAAUACAAUUUUCCAUUUCUAACUUUUAGUUGUACCUAGUGUUUUAUUGGAAAUGAUCAAGUACAUGAGUGGUGUCUUUUUAAAAAAUUUACUUUAUUUGCUUCUCUAGCUUCAUCGUUAGUUAGGCAGUUAAAUCUAACCAUUUGGAGGUAUUUUCAUAUAACCUCCAUUGAGGACAAUUUGGCAAUAGCUUUUAAAAUUAUAAAUAUAUUUGUACAGUUAUAAGCUGCCAUAUCUAUAAAACUAUUUGAUAGACAAAAGUUGAAAACCCUCCAAGAGCUCAUCAAUAAAAGAUUAAAUUAAUUAUGAUACAUCCAUAUGAGCACUGAGCAGCUGUGAAAAAAAUGAGGAAGUAAUUCCUGUGCUGAUAUGGGAAGACUUCCAAGACAUGUUGUUAAGUACAGAAUGGUGUAUACAGUAUGCUAUAUAGUGUGGUAAAAGGUUUAGGGAUAAGCAUUUAUAUUUAUAACUGUUUAUAUUUACAUAAAGUAAUUCUGAAAGGAUACAAAAAAGCUAACAAAAGAGAUUACCUGUGGUAGUGUGGGGCUUGGGGAUUGGAUGGGUGAGAAACAGUAGUGGAAAUGAGAUAUUGUACAGUUUAAGGCAUUAUACACCUAUAAAAACAUGGGAAUGUAUUACCUACUCAAAAAGUGAAAUUAAGAGAGAUACAAGAAACUGUUUGGAUGUUCCUUCCCGUUUCAAUGUAUCUAUAUUUUUUCAGCCCUCAAAGUUAUUAUAAAUGUCAUUAUAAUAACUUCAUAAAGCUUCCCCUAUAAUGAGAAUCUUACCAUUCUCCUAACUCCAAUAGCACUGUAAUCCACCUCUGUUAGGACACAUCACUCUUCAUCAUGUGUGAUUAUUAUUUGCAGAUAUCAUCUUCAAGGCUCUUCUCUAUUUACCACCUGCCAUUCUUGUUCUCACCUCUACAUGACCUUCACAUUUUAUUUCUCUCGGUUUUUUGGACAAGCUACAUUCCCUUCCACAGAGAAGGCUUCCCUGACCCCUUUCACUUGGUUGGAUUACCUUGCUAUUCUUUUCUAUCUUUGUACAUUCCUUUUCAAAAUACUUAUCUCCCUUGUUGUUACCUAUAAUGUCUGUCUUCUUUACUCAAGAGUCUAGACAAAAAGCUCCACGCCAGCCUCGGCUGUGUUUGUAUUGUUUACGUCUGUGUUCCUAGUGCUUAAUAAAAUACCUAGCAAGGGUUAAUAAGUACUUGUUGACUGGAAGGGAAUGACUUCCUUCCCUUACUAGAGAGUGAUUUCCUUACAGGCGAGAUGUGUCAACCUUCUAUAGCCCACAUAAAAUAAAGGACAAUAUCUCCUAUUGGAUAAAAGACAAAAAAAAAAAAAAAA